This 477-nucleotide ribosomal RNA is filed under the name Candidatus Scalindua wagneri. RNAcentral describes it as "bacterial SSU rRNA". It matches the Rfam family "Bacterial small subunit ribosomal RNA", at positions 365 to 832 of the family's 1533-position model. RNAcentral also lists the same sequence under 1 other name. Lineage: Bacteria; Pseudomonadati; Planctomycetota; Candidatus Brocadiia; Candidatus Brocadiales; Candidatus Scalinduaceae. The record is from RNAcentral.
UUCGCAAUGCCCGAAAGGGUGACGAUGCGACGCCGCGUGAGCGAAGAAGGCCCUAGGGUUGUAAAGCUCUGUCGAGGGUUAUGAAAUAUAGAUGGGUUAAUACCCCAUUUAUUUGACAAAAGCCCAAAAGGAAGCCACGGCUAACUCUGUGCCAGCAGCCGCGGUAAUACAGAGGUGGCGAGCGUUGUUCGGUAUUAUUGGGCGUAAAGAGCACGUAGGUGGUUUUGUAAGUCAGGUGUGAAAGCCUUCUGUUCAAAGGAAGAACGGCAUCUGAAACUGCAGAUCUUGAGUGUAGGAGGGGAGAGUGGAACUUCUGGUGGAGCGGUGAAAUGCGUAGAUAUCAGAAGGAACGUCGGCGGCGAAAGCGACUCUCUGGCCUAUUACUGACACUGAGUGUGCGAAAGUUAGGGGAGCAAACGGGAUUAGAUACCCCGGUAGUCCUAACUGUAAACGAUGGGCACUAAGUAGAGGGGUUUU